GAGUUGUUAGGUGUGGAUAAUUAGAUUAUAGUUUAUUGCAAUAGCAAGUUGUGCCUUGUUCUCAGAUAGACAGCAAGUGGAGAGUGAUAUAUGAAAUGAUGGGAUGGAAGGAAGAAGAGAAGCAAAGAGUGAAUCACAGGCAGAGCCUAAAUUAUUUCUCACAGUUUUUUGUUGCCUUAUGGUUCCAAGCGCUGUCACCAAUCUUUGCAUUUUGUUAUUAUCUCAUGACACUUGUUUAAUCAGCUACCAUCUCUCCUAUGGACUUUUUAAUGUUUACAGUCUCAGAUCAACUCAGCCCUGCCCUCCAGCACUAUCCACAGCAACCCCUCAACAGCAACAUUGUACCUGUUCUGUCCUUAUUGUGCGUCCCUUUGCCCAACUUGACAGACAGCUAACGGUUUCAAUGAACAUUGGAGGCGGAAGUUAUAAUGAUGCAGCACCAGAAUUGAACCAGGACCGGAAAACUGCCCAAUCAUCUCAUCUUUGGAGCUCUUCAUUUUUAAAAAACACAACUAAAUUCAAAGUUUAUACUAGAUAAUAGCUUACUAUAUAAAGCUGUGUCUUUUUUUUAACAACAAGUUCACAUGUUAGCUCUCAGCACAACUGUGGAUAGAAAAAAAACAGAAAACUCAGGACAGGGAAGGAUCAGCUUUAUUUAAGUUUUGAGGGACAUUUGAUAGUUUUUGAUGAUGAUUUUCUCUAUGUGAUUACAUGAGCUUUCCCCAGAUUCAGACCUCAGGACCAACCAGUGAUAGACAAAAAUCAUUCUAUACUCUCGGAUGAAUACACUUAAUUGUUGUAAUGACAGAGUAAAUUUGUGUUAACUCCUAAAUUAACAGAUGAAAAAGGCAAAACUAUAUUAUAUGCUGUCAGUGAAAGUUGUAGCUGUUUUACUGAAAAUAUUAAAGACAAAACAUGAAAACUGAAUAUAUUAAUGUAACUGCUGUCACUACAUAUAUUCUUAUCUUUACUCAGUUUCAUCCUACUCUUUUCAUUC
Molecule: long non-coding RNA, 997 nt
Organism: Astatotilapia calliptera (eastern happy)
Lineage: Eukaryota; Metazoa; Chordata; Actinopteri; Cichliformes; Cichlidae
Source: Ensembl